This 253-nucleotide ribosomal RNA is filed under the name uncultured bacterium. Its description in RNAcentral is "partial 16S ribosomal RNA". It matches the Rfam family "Bacterial small subunit ribosomal RNA", at positions 524 to 776 of the family's 1533-position model. The record is from RNAcentral.
UACGUAGGGUGCUAGCGUUGUCCGGAAUUAUUGGGCGUAAAGGGCUCGUAGGCGGUUCGUUACGUCGGGAGUGAAAACCCAGGGCUCAACCCUGGGCCUGCUUCCGAUACGGGCAGACUAGAGGUAUGCAGGGGAGAAUGGAAUUCCUGGUGUAGCGGUGGAAUGCGCAGAUAUCAGGAGGAACACCGGUGGCGAAGGCGGGUCUCUGGGCAGUAACUGACGCUGAGGAGCGAAAGCGUGGGGAGCGAACAGG